This 226-nucleotide ribosomal RNA is filed under the name uncultured Emticicia sp. RNAcentral's name for it is "partial 16S ribosomal RNA". It matches the Rfam family "Bacterial small subunit ribosomal RNA", at positions 568 to 792 of the family's 1533-position model. Lineage: Bacteria; Pseudomonadati; Bacteroidota; Cytophagia; Cytophagales; Leadbetterellaceae. The record is from RNAcentral.
UGCGUAGGCGGCUGAUUAAGUCAGCGGUGAAAGGUAGCAGCUUAACUGUUUUACAUGCCGUUGAUACUGGUUAGCUUGAGUUAACAGAAGGCAGAUAGAAUUUCUGGUGUAGCGGUGAAAUGCUUAGAUACCAGAAGGAAUACCGAUUGCGAAGGCAGUCUGCUGCAGUUACACUGACGCUGAGGCACGAAAGUGCGGGGAUCAAACAGGAUUAGAUACCCCUGUA